Molecule: long non-coding RNA, 1358 nt
Filed under: Arabidopsis lyrata
Lineage: Eukaryota; Viridiplantae; Streptophyta; Magnoliopsida; Brassicales; Brassicaceae
Description: long non-coding RNA (ALYR_LNC001374)
Source: RNAcentral
AAUAAUAAUAUUAAUCCAUCCCAAAUUGGGCUUUAGGCUAUGGGCCUUAUAUCAGAUCCACGGUUACAAAAUGAAGAAAACACAGACAACAACACCGGUGACUUGAGAUCAGAACUGAGCAGUGGUCAGAAACUGGGAGCCACACCACUACAACCGGCGAUUACAAAAAACACUGCUUCGAGGCUACGUCGGCGAGAUCGUCUCUUUGACCAGAGUAAUCGAUUUCUUUCGCAAAGUCAAUCCCACCGACAAACCUGAACCCACAACAUGUUUCCCGAAAUGAAUCGAUUCCCAGAAAAUCUGAUACUCCUCCCCUCUAGUCCCCUACCUAGCAAAAAGAGAGAAUGCAGAUCUAUCCCUCAGUCUCCGGCGUCGACCAUCCAACGUGAAAUCUCUGAAACCUAGCUAUCUUAAGAUCCGGUCAAGGAAACGCAAAAUCUUUGGAGCUGAGAGCGACGGCGGCUCAAACCAUAACACUCAUCAUCCAGAUUCCGAGAUUAGCCAUCAGAUCCAGAUAGAUCUAAUGUUAAAAGCCUUGACAAGCAGCAAAAAACCCACCGAUUCGUUAGGUUCCGCCGCAACCACAACUACCACCACGAGCAAUUAACCGAGAGCAACCUCUUCCACGAAACCACCAACGUCCUUGACCAGAAGCAAAAUAUACAGAGUCUUCUCCAUACCGCCGUAAUAGUCACCACAAAUGCAAUACCAACGAAUACUCCACACCCAACGCUGCCGGAGAAGAAAGCCGGCCCACUCCCGUUUAACCGAGCAAUUUCACGCAUGCGAUGAAGAACCAGAAGCAAAAAGAAAAAAUGAAACGAAAAAGCUAGAUCUGGUUUUUGAGGAGAGAGAAGAGAGAGAAACGUGGGGAACAAUUGGCCCUCGUAUCUAUCAGAAAAAAAGAAGAAGAAGAAAUCUUAUCCAAAAAACUCUUCAAUCCCAAACAAAGCAACUAAUCGAGCAAGAAGAAAUCAAAUCAAAAGCAAAACGAAAUCAUAAACAUAAAUAGAGAAGUCAUAGGGUUAAGAAUACUCAUCUAUGAGAUACAAAAGAAGGAUUCGUCUCCCUUGAAGCAAUAGAACGAAUACAAAAGAAGAAACUAUGAAAGAAAGUGUUUAGAUCUAUGGAAAUGGUGCGAGAGAGAGCUCGCAAUCAAGAGAUCGAGUUCUGUGGCGAGCUUUACGGCUAAGAGGCCGUCUUAUUUCUUCUAAGGAGUUUAGGGAUUUUCUCCAGUUGAAAUAAUUAAAGUGUUGUCGUUUUGGUACAAAGGAGUCGGAGAAUGAUUUGGCACCGAUCAAGUAGCUUGUGACCGGUCCCAUGAGUUUCUUUUUACUCUUGGUGACCGGUGUGAUUGU